GCCUCUACGUAAAAUAUGUUUUUGACCUAUCAAGAAUAAGAAUUUUAAGUGGGAUGUGCCAUAUAACUUGUCUUGUUUGUGAAAGCUUUUCCUGUUUUAUAAUAAUGAUUCUAUGAUAAUAAUGGUGUUUGUUUAUUUCUGUUAUGUAUUUUUUAUAUUUAUAUCACUAUUUCAAAAAUCUGUUGGACGAAUCCAGUGCGACAAUGGAGAAACUAUUUCAAUGUCUAUGUUUAAGGACUGUCAUAUUGAAUUACAUAGUAUCUUAGAACUUAUAUGUAAUUUAUUUUCGCCAAAUAUGGAUUUAAAUAUUGCUGGUGAGUAGACAUUUAUCUAUUUUAAAAAGACUUUACUCGAUACUGCAAUGGAAUAUUCGAAGAUAAUUAUAAAUAUUGCUUUUAUUUAUUUAUAAAUAUAUGAAUUCUAUCAUUUUUCGUCCUUUAAAUUAGUUAUAAUUGUUCGACUUUCAUAGGUUAUUAAUCAAAUCAUAAAUAAAAUCAUUCUUCUAUAUUUACAAUAAUUUAAAAUGAUUUAUUCAAUUAAUUGAUGUGAUACUGUUUCCCAGAAUAAUUAUGAAAAAACGUGGCUUCCAUUUAUAAAUAUAUGAAUUUGAUACUUUUUUCGCGUUAGUCUUUAUAUAAGAUAUAAAAAAAAUUAAAUAUAUCACUUUAAAUUUUAAUCAUUGCAUUUAAAUAAAGUGAUAUGGAACGAGAUAAUAGUUCAAAGAUAUAAUAAGUCAGACACAAAAUACUUAAUUAAUCUUCAAUUAUUGGACCUUUUAAAUUGAAGCUUUUAUUAAAAUAUUUGAAGAUUUCAGAAAAAAACACACUAUAAAGUGUAAACAAUAUCUAAUUUCAUAUAACUUUCCCUUUUCGUUCACGUAUUAUCAUGUAUUUGAAAAUUAAUUCAUUAACUAUUAUCCGAACUGAACUUCAAAACUAUACAUAGAGUUACAUUUAAGGUUAAACUGAGGCACUAUGUUUCUUAUAUACUAAUUAUGUAUACCAGGAAAUGUUAACAAUGGUAUAAUUGUCAUUCCAGGUGCUCCGGUUGUUGGAGAUAGAUUAAAUGCCACAGAAAGACUGGUUUGUGGUUGUUGUAUGAAUGAUUGUAGUUUAACUGAACUUAGGAACUAUUGUUGGUUGCAAAAUAUGAAGCUGUGACUUUAUUAUGAAUUUCUAUUUUUAUAUACACAUGUUAAAAAUUGUUUGACAAUUCUUAUUUUAUCUGUUCACUUUUAAAGAAAAAUAAAAUUUACUGGUUGCCAAAAUCCAUUUAUAUGUAUUUUUUUAUUUACUACCACUGGGUCGAAGCCACUGCUGGUGGAGAUUUAUUUCCCCGAGGGUAUCACCAGCCCAGUAGUCAGCACUUUUCUGCUGACAUGAAUUAUCAUUGAUAUGGUUAUAUUUAUCAAUUAACUGCUUACAAAAUUUAGAAUUUUUUAAAUACAAAGGAUUUUCUACCUCAGGCAUAGAUUACCGUAGCUGUAUUAAUGCUCUUCAACUUCGUAUUUUUUGUUUGGACUUUUCAACUCCUUUGGAUUCGAGCGUCACUGAUGCGUCUUUUGUAGACGAAACGCGCAUCUGCCGUAGAUACAAAAUUUAGUCCUGGUAUCUAUGAUGAGUUUAGAUUCUAUGUGAAUGUAUCAGCAAGUAAAAUAAAAAUGAAUAAAUAAAUAUUUUUUGUAUUUACAUAUAUUUAUAUAUAUUCAUAUAUUACCAUCGAACUUUUAAAAUUCAUAUUUUUUCAACGGGCGC
RNAcentral lists this long non-coding RNA (1754 nucleotides) under Mytilus galloprovincialis (Mediterranean mussel). The record is from RNAcentral. Lineage: Eukaryota; Metazoa; Mollusca; Bivalvia; Mytilida; Mytilidae.